UUGGAGGAUCUGUUGCAGGAAGUACAGGUGCUGAUGGAGGCUUUGACAUGCAAGAUGGAGGACCUGCUAUUCAGAAUGUCAAGUGAUGAACUCUUGAGGCUGGAAAUCAGUUAGCUGUUUAGAAAUUAUAACUGCAUAUAGUAUACCUCACUACAAGGCUUUGUAUGGAUGGCGUGCUGAAUAUAUGAAUAUAUAUUGUAUGGACCACUCAUUGAAUCGAAUAUUUGUCUGGAAUUACAUUGGGACCUUGUUAUGAAUGAAUGUUCUCAUUGUAUUGUACUAAUUAAAUUGCAAUUAAAUGAGCUUUUAUUUUU
Molecule: long non-coding RNA, 314 nt
Organism: Panicum virgatum (switchgrass)
Lineage: Eukaryota; Viridiplantae; Streptophyta; Magnoliopsida; Poales; Poaceae
Exons: 2
Source: RefSeq, a predicted model, not a curated record